CCUACGGGUGGCAGCAGUGGGGGAUAUUGCACAAUGGGGGAAACCCUGAUGCAGCGACGCCGCGUGUGGGAAGACGGUCCUCUGGAUUGUAAACCACUGUCCCCAGGGACGAAGAUGACGGUACCUGGGGAGGAAGCUCCGGCUAACUACGUGCCAGCAGACGCGGUAAUACGUAGGGAGCGAGCGUUGUCCGGAAUUACUGGGUGUAAGGGGAGCGUAGGCGGGACUGCAAGUUGGGUGUCAAAUCUACCGGCUCAACCGGUAGCCGCACUCAAAACUGCAGUUCUUGAGUGAAGUAGAGGCAGGCGGAAUUCCUAGUGUAGCGGUGAAAUGCGUAGAUAUUAGGAGGAACACCAGUGGCGAAGGCGGCCUGCUGGGCUUUUACUGACGCUGAGGCUCGAAAGUGUGGGGAGCAAACAGGAUUAGAUACCCCGGUAGUC
Molecule: ribosomal RNA, 440 nt
Filed under: uncultured bacterium
Lineage: Bacteria
Description: partial 16S ribosomal RNA
Rfam family: Bacterial small subunit ribosomal RNA
Source: RNAcentral